Molecule: ribosomal RNA, 513 nt
Filed under: uncultured bacterium
Lineage: Bacteria
Description: partial 16S ribosomal RNA
Rfam family: Bacterial small subunit ribosomal RNA
Source: RNAcentral
UGGGGAAUAUUGCACAAUGGGCGCAAGCCUGAUGCAGCCAUGCCGCGUGUGUGAAGAAGGCCUUCGGGUUGUAAAGCACUUUCAGCGAGGAGGAAGGUGGUGAACUUAAUACGUUCAUCAAUUGACGUUACUCGCAGAAGAAGCACCGGCUAACUCCGUGCCAGCAGCCGCGGUAAUACGGAGGGUGCAAGCGUUAAUCGGAAUUACUGGGCGUAAAGCGCACGCAGGCGGUUUGUUAAGUCAGAUGUGAAAUCCCCGGGCUCAACCUGGGAACUGCAUUUGAAACUGGCAAGCUAGAGUCUCGUAGAGGGGGUAGAAUUCCAGGUGUAGCGGUGAAAUGCGUAGAGAUCUGGAGGAAUACCGGUGGCGAAGGCGGCCCCCUGGACGAAGACUGACGCUCAGGUGCGAAAGCGUGGGAGCAAACAGGAUUAGAUACCCUGGUAGUCCACGCUGUAAACGAUGUCGAUUUUGGAGGUUGUGCCCUUGAGGCGUGGCUUCCGGAGCUAACGCGUU